This 646-nucleotide ribosomal RNA is filed under the name Acanthophysellum mesaverdense. RNAcentral describes it as "eukaryotic LSU rRNA". The stretch from base 226 to 379 matches the Rfam family "5.8S ribosomal RNA". The record is from RNAcentral. Lineage: Eukaryota; Fungi; Basidiomycota; Agaricomycetes; Russulales; Stereaceae.
CCCUUGGUGACUGCGGAGGAUCAUUAAUGAACUUGUGAUCGAGGUUGUAGCUGGCCCUCUCACGGGGGCAUGUGCACGCCUCUUUCACCAAUCCACACACACCUGUGCACCUUUGCGUGGGUCGGGAGGUUCCGCUUGCGGGACAGUACCGGCUCGCGUCCUUUUCACAAACCCUCGUAUGUCUUUAGGAAUGUAUCUUUGAUGUAAUAAAAACGCAUCUACAACAACUUUCAACAACGGAUCUCUUGGCUCUCGCAUCGAUGAAGAACGCAGCGAAAUGCGAUAAGUAAUGUGAAUUGCAGAAUUCAGUGAAUCAUCGAAUCUUUGAACGCACCUUGCGCCCUUUGGUAUUCCGAAGGGCACACCUGUUUGAGUGUCGUGAAAUUCUCAACCCUCUUCACUUUGUUGUGAGAAGGGCUUGGACUUGGAGGAUUUGCCGGACGUCGAGUUCGGCUCCUCUCAAAUGCAUUAGUGCGUCUUUGUUGCGAUGUACGCUUCGGUGUGAUAAUUAUCUACGUCGCUGCUGUACUUGCUUCUUGUGGGGACGCGCUUCCAACCGUCCGAAAGGACAAUUCAUCGAACCUUGACCUCAAAUCAGGUGGGACUACCCGCUGAACUUAAGCAUAUCAUAAGGGGGGAGAAAAAA